UAGUUCCGAUUAACACGCUGCUGACC
Molecule: non-coding RNA, 26 nt
Filed under: Mus musculus (house mouse)
Lineage: Eukaryota; Metazoa; Chordata; Mammalia; Rodentia; Muridae
Source: RNAcentral